This 279-nucleotide non-coding RNA is filed under the name Variovorax paradoxus. The record is from RNAcentral. Lineage: Bacteria; Pseudomonadati; Pseudomonadota; Betaproteobacteria; Burkholderiales; Comamonadaceae.
CCGGUCAAACGGUUCGAAGGUGCCCCUACCGCCAUGCCAUGGCGUUCGGGGUUAAACGGGAAGCAGGUGCGCCGUGUCGUCGCCGACACGGUCAUUCCUGCGCUGCCCCCGCAACGGUCGGCGGAUCGGAAACUCUCAAGCCCGCGCCUCUUCGAUGAGGCCGGCAGCCACUGCGCUUCGGCGUGGGAAGGCGAGGGUUUCUGCCGCGGCGCGCACUGCCACAGUGCGCGCCGCGGCGCUCCGCAAGCCCGGAUACCGGCCUUCGCAACCGCCUUCGGA